Molecule: long non-coding RNA, 419 nt
Organism: Rhopalosiphum maidis (corn leaf aphid)
Lineage: Eukaryota; Metazoa; Arthropoda; Insecta; Hemiptera; Aphididae
Exons: 3
Source: RefSeq, a predicted model, not a curated record
GUUUUUUUUACUAUUAUUUUUAUUAUCAUUAUCGUUAUUAUUUUCAAUACCGAUGAGAGAACACUGCGAAACCAGUAUCGCGGCAUCCGGUGGCGUGCGUCCAGCAAUUUUAAAUUGAGGUGGUUAAACAUCCUUCGAGGUUGAAGAGCAUGAAGCGAUAGGUACACGCAACAUAGCGAACGAGAUGUCAACAACAACGACGGCGCACAACAAAAUUAGACCCUUCUUGGGGUGUUCCCGCGGGCUGACCAGCUCCGUUACCGGCCCGACGAGUCCUGAGGGAACACCGAAAACACGGUGACCACUAAGGGUUGGAUAUUUUUUCCACGCUCUCUUUCUAAAUAGUAGGAAAUGGAUUAUAUAUAUUUUUUUACCCUCUCCUCCAUUAAUGGUAAAAUGCUCCAUCUCACUGACAAAGG